AUUGAACGCUGGCGGCAGGCCUAACACAUGCAAGUCGGACGGUAGCACAGAGGAGCUUGCUCCUCGGGUGACGAGUGGCGGACGGGUGAGUAACGUCUGGGAAACUGCCCGAUGGAGGGGGAUAACUACUGGAAACGGUAGCUAAUACCGCAUAACGUCGCAAGACCAAAGUGGGGGACCUUCGGGCCUCACACCAUCGGAUGUGCCCAGAUGGGAUUAGCUAGUAGGUGGGGUAAUGGCUCACCUAGGCGACGAUCCCUAGCUGGUCUGAGAGGAUGACCAGCCACACUGGAACUGAGACACGGUCCAGACUCCUACGGGAGGCAGCAGUGGGGAAUAUUGCACAAUGGGCGCAAGCCUGAUGCAGCCAUGCCGCGUGUAUGAAGAAGGCCUUCGGGUUGUAAAGUACUUUCAGCGGGGAGGAAGGCGGUGAAGUUAAUAACUUCACCGAUUGACGUUACCCGCAGAAGAAGCACCGGCUAACUCCGUGCCAGCCGCCGCAGUAA
This 506-nucleotide ribosomal RNA is filed under the name uncultured bacterium. RNAcentral describes it as "partial 16S ribosomal RNA". It matches the Rfam family "Bacterial small subunit ribosomal RNA", at positions 30 to 523 of the family's 1533-position model. The record is from RNAcentral.